UGGCUGUCUGAGAAGUGCUGGGGCUGGGGAGCUCCAGCCUAGCAGAGCUGCAGGUUGAGGGGACAUAAGGCUUGCUGGCUAACCCCUUUAAUUAUCGGGAUGGCAAGGAGGGCAGCCAUCAAUCCCCUGAAGACUGCAGAGUAGAAGAGCGUGUAGCAAGCCACCAGUUCCCUCUUAGUCUUCCAAAAGACAGCAUCAGGUUUCAUUUGAAUAAACAUAUUCACAUCAGCCUGAAUUGCAAGGUACUAAAACCAUGCAGACUGAAUUCACUGAAAGCCACUGAACCAAAACCAGCAGGUUUCCCACAGCUUCAAAUGGUCUGCAUAACACAGAGAGCAGAACAAAAAGAAAAAGCAGAAAAUAUUGUGUAAGUUCACAUAUUUCCCUCUAAACCUUCCUGUAUAGGUUUUAUUGAGGCUGAAGCUUUAACACACUGCUUACAGCCCCACUGUUGAUCUGUGUUAGACUAUUAGGGCUAUACUUUCCAGUUGCUGAUUAGCUUUCUGAUGUGCAUUCUGGAUAACCUAAUACUGGGAGAGGUGGAGUUAUUACC
Chelonia mydas (Green sea turtle) is the source of this 553-nucleotide long non-coding RNA. RefSeq lists it as uncharacterized. NCBI's taxonomy places the organism in Eukaryota, Metazoa, Chordata, Testudines, Cheloniidae. The transcript is spliced from 3 exons. The record is from RefSeq and is a predicted model, not a curated record.